GAGUUUGAUCGUGGCUCAGAACGAACGCUGGCGGCAGGCUUAACACAUGCAAGUCGAACGGCUGUAGCAAUACAGCAGUGGCAGACGGGUGAGUAACACGUGGGAACCUUCCUAGGGGUACGGAACAACUCAGGGAAACUUGAGCUAAUACCGUAUACGUCCGUGAGGAGAAAGAUUUAUCGCCCUUAGACGGGCCCGCGUCGGAUUAGGUAGUUGGUGGGGUAACGGCCUACCAAGCCUACGAUCCGUAGCUGAUCUGAGAGGAUGAUCAGCCACACUGGGACUGAGACACGGCCUAGACUCCUACGGGAGGCAGCAGUGGGGAAUCUUGGACAAUGGGCGCAAGCCUGAUCCAGCCAUGCCGCGUGAGUGAAGAAGGCCUUAGGGUUGUAAAGCUCUUUUGCCAGGGACGAUAAUGACGGUACCU
This 427-nucleotide ribosomal RNA is filed under the name uncultured Alphaproteobacteria bacterium. RNAcentral describes it as "bacterial SSU rRNA". It matches the Rfam family "Bacterial small subunit ribosomal RNA", at positions 9 to 480 of the family's 1533-position model. Lineage: Bacteria; Pseudomonadati; Pseudomonadota; Alphaproteobacteria. The record is from RNAcentral.